UGGGGAAUAUUGGACAAUGGGCGAAAGCCUGAUCCAGCCAUGCCGCGUGUGUGAAGAAGGUCUUCGGAUUGUAAAGCACUUUAAGUUGGGAGGAAGGGCAGUAAGCGAAUACCUUGCUGUUUUGACGUUACCGACAGAAUAAGCACCGGCUAACUCUGUGCCAGCAGCCGCGGUAAUACAGAGGGUGCAAGCGUUGAUCGGAAUUACUGGGCGUAAAGCGCGCUUAGGUGGUUCGUUAAGUUGAAUGUGAAAGCCCCGGGCUCAACCUGGGAACUGCAUCCAAAACUGGCGGGCUAGAGUAGGGCAGAGGGUGGUGGAAGUUCCUGUGUAGCGGUGAAAUGCGUAGAAAUAAGACGGAACACCAGUGGCGAAGGCGACCACCUGGGCUCAUUAUGACACUGAGGUGCGAAAGCGUGGGGAGCAAACAGG
This 429-nucleotide ribosomal RNA is filed under the name Pseudomonadota bacterium. RNAcentral's name for it is "Proteobacteria bacterium partial 16S ribosomal RNA". It matches the Rfam family "Bacterial small subunit ribosomal RNA", at positions 355 to 776 of the family's 1533-position model. The record is from RNAcentral. Lineage: Bacteria; Pseudomonadati; Pseudomonadota.